This 222-nucleotide long non-coding RNA is filed under the name Capra hircus (goat). RNAcentral's name for it is "lncRNA (ENSCHIG00010011088.1)". The record is from RNAcentral. Lineage: Eukaryota; Metazoa; Chordata; Mammalia; Artiodactyla; Bovidae.
ACCUCCAAGAGCCAAGUCUCCCUGUCACUGAGCAGCGUGACAACUGAGGAUAUGGCCCUGUACUACUGUGCAAGAGACACAGUGAGGGGAAGUCAGUGUGAGCCCAGACAAAAACCUCCCUGCAUAGGGGCCCGUGCCCACCAGGGGGCGCACAGGUCUCACUACGCGGCAGCACCCCGGAGCAGGAAGAGACCCAACCUCCUUCUGCCUGUGAAACUGCAC